This 1855-nucleotide ribosomal RNA is filed under the name Escherichia coli. RNAcentral's name for it is "partial 23S ribosomal RNA". It matches the Rfam family "Bacterial large subunit ribosomal RNA", at positions 1080 to 2915 of the family's 2925-position model. Lineage: Bacteria; Pseudomonadati; Pseudomonadota; Gammaproteobacteria; Enterobacterales; Enterobacteriaceae. The record is from RNAcentral.
AAGGCCCAGACAGCCAGGAUGUUGGCUUAGAAGCAGCCAUCAUUUAAAGAAAGCGUAAUAGCUCACUGGUCGAGUCGGCCUGCGCGGAAGAUGUAACGGGGCUAAACCAUGCACCGAAGCUGCGGCAGCGACACUAUGUGUUGUUGGGUAGGGGAGCGUUCUGUAAGCCUGUGAAGGUGUACUGUGAGGUAUGCUGGAGGUAUCAGAAGUGCGAAUGCUGACAUAAGUAACGAUAAAGCGGGUGAAAAGCCCGCUCGCCGGAAGACCAAGGGUUCCUGUCCAACGUUAAUCGGGGCAGGGUGAGUCGACCCCUAAGGCGAGGCCGAAAGGCGUAGUCGAUGGGAAACAGGUUAAUAUUCCUGUACUUGGUGUUACUGCGAAGGGGGGACGGAGAAGGCUAUGUUGGCCGGGCGACGGUUGUCCCGGUUUAAGCGUGUAGGCUGGUUUUCCAGGCAAAUCCGGAAAAUCAAGGCUGAGGCGUGAUGACGAGGCACUACGGUGCUGAAGCAACAAAUGCCCUGCUUCCAGGAAAAGCCUCUAAGCAUCAGGUAACAUCAAAUCGUACCCCAAACCGACACAGGUGGUCAGGUAGAGAAUACCAAGGCGCUUGAGAGAACUCGGGUGAAGGAACUAGGCAAAAUGGUGCCGUAACUUCGGGAGAAGGCACGCUGAUAUGUAGGUGAAGUCCCUCGCGGAUGGAGCUGAAAUCAGUCGAAGAUACCAGCUGGCUGCAACUGUUUAUUAAAAACACAGCACUGUGCAAACACGAAAGUGGACGUAUACGGUGUGACGCCUGCCCGGUGCCGGAAGGUUAAUUGAUGGGGUCAGCGCAAGCGAAGCUCUUGAUCGAAGCCCCGGUAAACGGCGGCCGUAACUAUAACGGUCCUAAGGUAGCGAAAUUCCUUGUCGGGUAAGUUCCGACCUGCACGAAUGGCGUAAUGAUGGCCAGGCUGUCUCCACCCGAGACUCAGUGAAAUUGAACUCGCUGUGAAGAUGCAGUGUACCCGCGGCAAGACGGAAAGACCCCGUGAACCUUUACUAUAGCUUGACACUGAACAUUGAGCCUUGAUGUGUAGGAUAGGUGGGAGGCUUUGAAGUGUGGACGCCAGUCUGCAUGGAGCCGACCUUGAAAUACCACCCUUUAAUGUUUGAUGUUCUAACGUGGACCCGUAAUCCGGGUUGCGGACAGUGUCUGGUGGGUAGUUUGACUGGGGCGGUCUCCUCCUAAAGAGUAACGGAGGAGCACGAAGGUUGGCUAAUCCUGGUCGGACAUCAGGAGGUUAGUGCAAUGGCAUAAGCCAGCUUGACUGCGAGCGUGACGGCGCGAGCAGGUGCGAAAGCAGGUCAUAGUGAUCCGGUGGUUCUGAAUGGAAGGGCCAUCGCUCAACGGAUAAAAGGUACUCCGGGGAUAACAGGCUGAUACCGCCCAAGAGUUCAUAUCGACGGCGGUGUUUGGCACCUCGAUGUCGGCUCAUCACAUCCUGGGGCUGAAGUAGGUCCCAAGGGUAUGGCUGUUCGCCAUUUAAAGUGGUACGCGAGCUGGGUUUAGAACGUCGUGAGACAGUUCGGUCCCUAUCUGCCGUGGGCGCUGGAGAACUGAGGGGGGCUGCUCCUAGUACGAGAGGACCGGAGUGGACGCAUCACUGGUGUUCGGGUUGUCAUGCCAAUGGCACUGCCCGGUAGCUAAAUGCGGAAGAGAUAAGUGCUGAAAGCAUCUAAGCACGAAACUUGCCCCGAGAUGAGUUCUCCCUGACUCCUUGAGAGUCCUGAAGGAACGUUGAAGACGACGACGUUGAUAGGCCGGGUGUGUAAGCGCAGCGAUGCGUUGAGCUAACCGGUACUAAUGAACCGUGAG